GGAGAUGUGACUCAGUGAUAGAGCUCUUGUCUAGCAUGAGACUCUGGGUUCAAUUUCCAGCAUUUCAA
RNAcentral lists this transfer RNA (68 nucleotides) under Ictidomys tridecemlineatus (thirteen-lined ground squirrel). Its description in RNAcentral is "Spermophilus tridecemlineatus (thirteen-lined ground squirrel) tRNA". It matches the Rfam family "tRNA". Rfam says of the family: Transfer RNA (tRNA) molecules are approximately 80 nucleotides in length. Their secondary structure includes four short double-helical elements and three loops (D, anti-codon, and T loops). Lineage: Eukaryota; Metazoa; Chordata; Mammalia; Rodentia; Sciuridae. The record is from Rfam by way of RNAcentral.